This 506-nucleotide ribosomal RNA is filed under the name uncultured bacterium. Its description in RNAcentral is "partial 16S ribosomal RNA". It matches the Rfam family "Bacterial small subunit ribosomal RNA", at positions 28 to 523 of the family's 1533-position model. The record is from RNAcentral.
GAUGAACGCUAGCUACAGGCUUAACACAUGCAAGUCGAGGGGUAACGAGAGGAAAGCUUGCUUUCCUUGUCGACGACCGGCGCGCGGGUGAGUAACGCGUAUCCAACCUGCCCCCAACUAAGGAAUAACCUUGCGAAAGUAAGACUAAUACCUUAUAAUUUCCUCAGAUGUCAUCUGACGAGGAAUAAAGAUUUAUCGGUUGUGGAUGGGGAUGCGUCUGAUUAGCUUGUUGGCGGGGUAACGGCCCACCAAGGCAACGAUCAGUAGGGGUUCUGAGAGGACGGUCCCCCACAUUGGAACUGGGACACGGUCCAAACUCCUACGGGAGGCAGCAGUGAGGAAUAUUGGUCAAUGGGCGGAAGCCUGAACCAGCCAAGUAGCGUGCAGGAUGACGGCCCUAUGGGUUGUAAACUGCUUUUAUACAGGAAUAAAGUUAGCCACGUGUGGUUAUUUGUAGGUACUGUAUGAAUAAGGACCGGCUAAUUCCGUGCCAGCCGCCGCCGUAA